AAUCAUACUUCUCUUCCUGAUUUUUCUCUCUCCCUUUCUUCCAAUCCCCUAUUUUUGUUUCUCUGUGCCUGGAAAGUGUUUGAUGAAAAUCCAAUAAGGCUGGAAGGGCAGUAUUAAUCUAUGUUAGUCAUCUGAUUUCUUUUUUCUAUUAUUUAGUUCCAGUAGAAAAUAACAAGUUGAGUAGACCGACUAGCUUUUUGCAAUUUAGGUAUUGAAGAAGAUCAUCGUGACUGCUUUUUCUUUCAUGCAAUAGUUCAGGUUUAUUGUUCUUAGUUUUUCUGUAGUGGUUAAUUUGAUUGCUAUGGAUUAAAAUCUAGAGCUACCUUAUAAUACUGCUUGAAAAUAGCUUUGGCUCUUCACACAUGGGAGUAAUAGGACAGUUUGCGUUCCUAAUUUUCUUUUCUCUGUAUAUGUACAUAGUUUCCAGAUUCUAAUUGUUUGCUACUGAAGCUUAUGUUUUUCUUUUUCGGAAUUGGGUGCGUAUGAACAAUGCAACGGAGGUUAUGUUAAUUCCUAGAGUCUUAUAUGUUCUUUUGUCUCCUGGUGAUUACUUUGAAUGGCUGUGUGAGGAACACAGGUUGCAAUUCCAGUUUCAUCGACGGACUCGCUCGCUGCUCUAGAAGGUGCUUUGGCUUGUUUCUCUGACCGAUUUAUUGGGACAUCUCACAUGGAUCUUCAUGCCUCAUAUACCUAUUUUUUAUUCUCUCGUCAAUUCCACAUGUCUGCUCGUCCAUUGCACGGUACUAGAUGGUCCCUGUUAAGUUAAUUCAAGGUACAUCCCAUCAGGACUAUUAUUUGAUUUGUUGGAUUAAUUUAUUUCAGAUAGCUUACUCCAGGUUGAAUCUCUUUGUCAUUGAAACUUCAUUGAGAAGACAGACAACAAUAAACUUUGCAAAUGCGACCCUAGCUGUUCCAAUAUAUUGCCAUAUUAUGGUUUUGUUUUAUUUUUUAUUGCUUCCUAUUGUUUGCUUUGUUUGAACUGCAUUUUAUAGCCAGGUUUUUUGUUGCUUUUAUUUUGUUUAGGUGGGUUCUAAACCAUUAAAGCAGAAAACAUACUGUUUAUAAAAAGUAUACAUAGUAUUGUAGAUUUAUGUUCACCAAUUAUCCAGAACGUUGACCUGGAGUCCUCCUUUUACAUAUUUGGUCUUCUUGGAAUCAAGCAAAAAUUACUAAGAAGCACAUAACUGAUUAUUUCUUCUGCUUAGCCUCAUUUUUGUCAUGCACAUAGGUGGGUAAGGUUUGAAUCUCUAUAAGACUCACAGUCAGGUACGACUGGAGGCAUAUUAUGUAAGUGCAUGUCUACUGUUAUGAGGUUUCAGUUUUCGACUCUAUGCAAUUCUCGGUGCAAGGGCCCCCGCUUCCUUGUUGUGACGUUGCAGCCUCACCGGCCCUUCUGCAGGCAAGAGUUAUGUCCAGAUGAGCUAACCCUUUACUAUCCAAACCUUCUGAAGGUCAUUAGCUCUGAUUCUUUGGAAAAAAGGUUGAGAGCUAUACACAAUAACGCUAAAGAUGGAGCGGCCUGCCAUGUAUUAGGGCAUACACAUUUCUGUUGGGAUUAUGCGGUUGACAAUAUCAGGUAUGUACAAGCGCCUCUGGCAUACCCUCGAGAAAGAAAGCGAAGGAUAAAUGGAGGCCAAGGAUGGCUGCCGUUUUUUGUAUAUUGUGAUGGCUUCAACCCUGAAACAAGAAUAGAAGGGAGCCUGAGAACACUCAGCUUGCGCCAUGGCAGUCUGACUAUUACAACAAGACAGAAGAGAGCCGGAGAACACUCAGCUUGCACUGUGGGUUGCCAAAUAUUUUUCAAUAUAGUAUGGACCCCCUGUGUUUGCUCGAGUGUAUUGUACACCAAAAUCAUGAGAGCUCCACACAUAAAUUUUGCCCAGACAUACUAUGUUCCUUCAAGUGUAAGCAUUUGAAAUUCUUGAUGCAUUUGAGACGGUGGAAACGAGAGAAGCUGGGAUCGUAGCACUGACCAUGACUGUGAUUGCUAGAGCUCUAAGAGAUAGACGGAGGUCUCAACUGGCUGGGAAGAUUUGACAAGAGAUGUGGAGAUGGGGCACGGGGAGGGGAGGACGAGUCGGCCUGGAGGCCCCGGUUGUGGCUUCAACUAGGCAGGCUUGGGACUCGCGGUGGCGGGCGGCCUCACGCUGGAGCUGGUCCUGGCGGGCGGCCUCGGCCUCGUCCACACGGACUUCUCCUGGUUGUUGAACUGGUUGAGGGUCAUCCAACUUCUUGUUUAUCAGGUUACUGUUUGAUAAAAUGCAAGAUAUUUCUGUUUGGAAGGGUUUCCUAACAUCCGGACAGGUCAUACUUUUGCAAGAUACAUGCGAGGAUUGCUGUGUCCAACCUGCACAAGAAUGCCAAGAAGUUCUCGAAGACGUAAGCCACGACGUAUGUUUCUACCAUGAUUUCCUUCAGUUGGAUUUCGUGGAUUUAGGUGUUGAAAAAUUAUGGGCUGUGGAUGGCUGCUUCUUUGUGGCUUCCAAAUUUAAAAUGUUUGUUUGAGAGUUAGUUUAGUUUCUGUUAUGGAUUCACAGCUUCUCACAUGUACCAUCCUCUUAGACCUUUAGAUUUCCAAAGAAACAAAAUGAAGAUAUCAUGGAAUGGUCUCAAUAGUAUAGCUUAAAGCUUUUCAUGCUUUAUAUUUUCUUUGAAAUUUGCUCGUGAAGAAUCAUGUAUCUAUGUUAGAUUUGGUGAGAAAAGACGUUUUCCAAGCA
Triticum dicoccoides is the source of this 2717-nucleotide RNA transcript. RefSeq lists it as uncharacterized. Lineage: Eukaryota; Viridiplantae; Streptophyta; Magnoliopsida; Poales; Poaceae. The record is from RefSeq and is a predicted model, not a curated record. The transcript has 9 exons.